GACAUUUUUUUGUCUUCUCCUAAGAUUGUAUUUCCCGCCAUUUUCGCCUCUAAUUGUUCUAUAAAUACGCGAACUGCGGAAGCACGUGUGUUACGUGUACAUUCCCAAAUUCAAACCCUAGCGUUCCCUGGGUUUCAAGGCUCGAAAGGUCGCGAUCGAAAUGGCGAAUCCCCGAGAUAACGUCUCCACUGUUACAUAUCUUGGGCUCUGAGAUAAACGAUUGUCUUCGUAUGCUAAAACUGACGUCUUCCUCCCGUUUUUGGGUCUUUGGUGCAUUAAUUAGAUAAUCGACUUGGUAGAAAUCUAGGCGUGGGGAUGGAGAAGUAGAUAUUGUCUGAAACUACAAAAGGAAAAGCUUUCGUAAGCACUAGCAGCGUGGGCAAUAGGUAGGCCAAACUAUUCCGUUGCUUAGUGUAAAAUGUUGAGCAACCUAAAAGGUAACACAAAAUGAUCCACAGUAGGAGCAUACAUAUUUGGUUAAGAAACAACAACCAUAAAUGACCCACUUGCUGCUGUUUGAAUUAGCUCUGGAAGGAAAAACAUUUUAUUCAUAGGUUAAUGGUUAAUUCUUUUGUUUAUGUUAUGAAGAUUUUCUUUGAUAGCGAAUGCAGGCGUUUCCAGGUGUUAUGGGCUGUCCUUUGGGUGAUGGAAAACCGUAGUCAUUUCUGAAAAAUCAGAACCAGACCAGGAUCAAGUUGCGCUCCUUAUAGUCAAGAUACUGGCCAUAUUUAUGACAUGGCCAAGCCUUGGAUUGCUGUUGAAAAUUACUGCAGCAGCUUUCUAGGAAUCAGCACGAAAAGGAAAAGAAAGGCUAAGCUAUAACAAGAUUUAUAUUCCCGUUUGAUAUUUAGAAUCAGAAAAAUAAUUUGUAUUCUUAUUCCCUUUUGCAACUUGGCUAACCCGGGCCUAUGAAAUAUAUCACUGGUUGGGUUCCCUUUUAGAUUGUGAAGGUUGUAGCUCUGGUAAUGUGUUCAUUGCAGAGGCACAAUUUUGCCUAGUGGUCGGAUAUUUUCGUAAAAAGGAAGGAUGAUUCCACGUACA
Long non-coding RNA from Tarenaya hassleriana, 1041 nucleotides. RefSeq lists it as uncharacterized. The transcript is spliced from 3 exons. NCBI's taxonomy places the organism in Eukaryota, Viridiplantae, Streptophyta, Magnoliopsida, Brassicales, Cleomaceae. The record is from RefSeq and is a predicted model, not a curated record.